Molecule: ribosomal RNA, 508 nt
Filed under: uncultured bacterium
Lineage: Bacteria
Description: bacterial SSU rRNA
Rfam family: Bacterial small subunit ribosomal RNA
Source: RNAcentral
GACGAACGCUGGCGGCGUGGAUUAGGCAUGCAAGUCGAACGGUAUCAUCCUUUCGGGGGUGAGAGAGUGGCGAACUGGUGAGUAACACGUAGGUUAUCUACCCUCAAGACGGGGACAACCCAGGGAAACUUGGGCUAAUACCGGAUGUGAGCAACUUUUAGUUGUUUGAAAGGUGGCGUAAGCUGUCGCUUGGGGAUGAGCCUGCGUCCUAUUAGUUAGUUGGUGAGGUAACGGCUCACCUAGGCAAUGAUAGGUAGGCGGCCUUAACGGGUGGUCGCCCACACUGGGAUUGAGAUACGGCCCAGACUCCUACGGGAGGCAGCAGUCGAGAAUAGUCUACAAUGGUCGGAAGACUGAUAGUGUGACGCCGCGUGAACGAUGAAUCCCUUCGGGGUGUAAAGUUCUUUUAUAUGUGAGCAGUGCUUCUUAUAUUAACAGUAUGGGGAGAGAGAUAUUAGCAUAUGAAUAAGCAACGGCUAACUCCGUGCCAGCAGCCGCGGUAAUCACG